RNAcentral lists this ribosomal RNA (279 nucleotides) under uncultured bacterium. Its description in RNAcentral is "partial 16S ribosomal RNA". It matches the Rfam family "Bacterial small subunit ribosomal RNA", at positions 506 to 784 of the family's 1533-position model. The record is from RNAcentral.
UGCCAGCAGCCGCGGUAAGACGAAGGUGGCAACCGUUGUUCGGAAUUACUGGGCAUAAAGAGCACGUAGGCGGACUACUAAGUCGGGUGUGAAAUCCCUCGGCCCAACCGAGGAACUGCGCCCGAUACUGGUAGUCUUGAGGACAGGAGGGGAGCGUGGAAUUCCUGGUGGAGCGGUGAAAUGCGUUGAUAUCAGGAGGAACACCGGCGGCGAAGGCGACGCUCUGGCCUGUUUCUGACGCUGAGGUGCGAAAGCUAGGGGAGCGAACGGGAUUAGAUA